Podarcis lilfordi (Lilford's wall lizard) is the source of this 69-nucleotide non-coding RNA. The record is from the annotation of a GenBank genome assembly. Lineage: Eukaryota; Metazoa; Chordata; Lepidosauria; Squamata; Lacertidae.
GCCAUAGCUCAGUGGCAGAUCAUCUGCUUUACACGCAGAAUGUCCCCGGUUCAAGCCCUAGUAGCUCCA